Molecule: ribosomal RNA, 433 nt
Filed under: uncultured bacterium
Lineage: Bacteria
Description: partial 16S ribosomal RNA
Rfam family: Bacterial small subunit ribosomal RNA
Source: RNAcentral
AACGAACGCUGGCGGCAGGCCUAACACAUGCAAGUCGAGCGAGGACUUCGGUCCUAGCGGCGGACGGGUGAGUAACGCGUGGGAACGUGCCCUUUGCUUCGGAAUAGCCCUGGGAAACUGGGAGUAAUACCGGAUGAGCCCUUUGGGGGAAAGAUUUAUCGGCGAAGGAUCGGCCCGCGUUGGAUUAGGUAGUUGGUGGGGUAAUGGCCUACCAAGCCGACGAUCCAUAGCUGGUUUGAGAGGAUGAUCAGCCACACUGGGACUGAGACACGGCCCAGACUCCUACGGGAGGCAGCAGUGGGGAAUCUUAGACAAGGGGGGAAGACCUGAUCUAGCCAUGCCGCGUGAGCGAUGAAGGCCGUAGGGUUGUAAAGCUCUUUCAGCUGGGAAGAUAAUGACGGUACCAGCAGAAGAAGCCCCGGCUAACUCCGUG